AGAGUUGAUCCUGGCUCAGGACGAACGCUGGCGGCGUGCCUAAUACAUGCAAGUCGAACGCACUGACGGAGAACUUGUUCUCUUGACGUGAGUGGCGCACGGGUGAGUAACACGUGGGAAACCUACCCUUCAGCGGGGGAUAACCAUCGGAAACGAUGACUAAUACCGCAUAGACGACAGAACCGCCUGGUUCAAUCGGGAAAGACGGCUUCGGCUGUCACUGAAGGAUGGUCCCGCGCUGCAUUAGCUAGUUGGUAAGGUAACGGCUUACCAAGGCGAUGAUGCAUAGCCGACCUGAGAGGGUGAUCGGCCACAUUGGGACUGAGACACGGCCCAAACUCCUACGGGAGGCAGCAGUAGGGAAUCUUCCGCAAUGGACGCAAGUCUGACGGAACAACGCCGCGUGUGUGAAGAAGGUUUUCGGAUCGUAAAGCACUGUUAUUAGAGAAGAACAGCCGAUAGAGUAACUGUUAUCGGUUUGACGGUAUCUAACCAGAAAGUGACGGCUAACUACGUGCCAGCAGCCGCGGUAAUACGUAGGUCACAAGCGUUGUCCGGAUUUAUUGGGCGUAGAGGGAGCGCAGGCGGUUUGUUAAGUCUGAUGUGAAAGCCCACGGCUCAACCGUGGAACGGCAUUGGAAACUGGCAAACUUGAGUAUAGAAGAGGAAAGUGGAAUUCCAUGUGUAGCGGUGAAAUGCGUAGAUAUAUGGAGGAACACCAGUGGCGAAGGCGACUUUCUGGUCUAUAACUGACGCUGAGGCUCGAAAGCGUGGGGAGCGAACAGGAUUAGAUACCCUGGUAGUCC
Molecule: ribosomal RNA, 806 nt
Filed under: uncultured bacterium
Lineage: Bacteria
Description: bacterial SSU rRNA
Rfam family: Bacterial small subunit ribosomal RNA
Source: RNAcentral